Molecule: long non-coding RNA, 505 nt
Organism: Grus americana (Whooping crane)
Lineage: Eukaryota; Metazoa; Chordata; Aves; Gruiformes; Gruidae
Exons: 3
Source: RefSeq, a predicted model, not a curated record
GCGGGGCGGGAAGCGAGCGAGUAGCGCGCGGGUGGAUUCUCUCAGCGUGGAGGUCGCCUCAGGGCUGAACGAGAAGUUGCUUCUCUCCCUGCGAUAGGAGGGGGCUGUCGUUUGCCGCCCCCCUCCUCCCCUCAGCAGGCGAACAGCAGCCGAAACGGUCAUUUUCAUGAAACCGCCCCCGUCCUGCCGAGGCUCAGCGCGCCUCCAGCCUUGCUCUGAUGCUGAGGGGAAAGCUGCCGUGCCGCAGCGGAGGUGUGGUGGUCCGGGCAGCGGCUCUGAGGCUGGGCAGCGGUGCUGUAAACAUGACUAGCCAAAGGAAGACCUUAGAAAACAACUCAAGGAAGCUAUGAAGGCUGUUGAGAAAGCAGAGAAGCCAGCUGGACCGAUUAUGAGAUGGAGGCACAGAGAUUUACCUAACAGUGGCAUAUUGAAGAUUAUGAAGUCAGGAGUUGAACUUAGAGGAAACUCUAGAUCUCUUCAACUCCAUCAUAGGACAACACAAAAG